UACGAAGGGGGCUAGCGUUGCUCGGAAUUACUGGGCGUAAAGCGCACGUAGGCGGAUUGUUAAGUCGGGGGUGAAAUCCUGGAGCUCAACUCCAGAACUGCCUUCGAUACUGGCGAUCUCGAGUUCGGGAGAGGUGAGUGGAACUGCGAGUGUAGAGGUGAAAUUCGUAGAUAUUCGCAAGAACACCAGUGGCGAAGGCGGCUCACUGGACCGAUACUGACGCUGAGGUGCGAAAGCGUGGGGAGCAAACAGG
Molecule: ribosomal RNA, 253 nt
Filed under: uncultured bacterium
Lineage: Bacteria
Description: partial 16S ribosomal RNA
Rfam family: Bacterial small subunit ribosomal RNA
Source: RNAcentral